UCCGAUGUGGUGUAACGGUUAGCAUCGCUCGCUUUCACCGAGCAGAUCGGGGUUCGAUUCCCCGCAUCGGAG
Molecule: transfer RNA, 72 nt
Filed under: Morchella angusticeps
Lineage: Eukaryota; Fungi; Ascomycota; Pezizomycetes; Pezizales; Morchellaceae
Also listed under: 21 other names
Description: tRNA-Glu
Rfam family: tRNA
About the family: Transfer RNA (tRNA) molecules are approximately 80 nucleotides in length. Their secondary structure includes four short double-helical elements and three loops (D, anti-codon, and T loops). Further hydrogen bonds mediate the characteristic L-shaped molecular structure. tRNAs have two regions of fundamental functional importance: the anti-codon, which is responsible for specific mRNA codon recognition, and the 3' end, to which the tRNAs corresponding amino acid is attached (by aminoacyl-tRNA synthetases). tRNAs cope with the degeneracy of the genetic code in two manners: having more than one tRNA (with a specific anti-codon) for a particular amino acid; and 'wobble' base-pairing, i.e. permitting non-standard base-pairing at the 3rd anti-codon position.
Source: RNAcentral